This 680-nucleotide long non-coding RNA is filed under the name Arabidopsis lyrata. Its description in RNAcentral is "long non-coding RNA (ALYR_LNC000335)". Lineage: Eukaryota; Viridiplantae; Streptophyta; Magnoliopsida; Brassicales; Brassicaceae. The record is from RNAcentral.
UUUUCUAAAAAAGUUCUCUCAUCUCUAGAUCCACACCACCGCCUAGCCACAUACCUUCUCCGUUGACAUGGCCUCGUCUCCUCCGUCUUCCACCGUUAAAGGUACUAGCCUAUUCCUCCUCGUCUUCUCUCCACAUCUUCUUCUCCUCCCUCCCUUCUCUUCUUCACUUCUUGAUGAAAUUAAGCCUUAUGGAUUGAAUUGAUGUGUCAAGGAGAUGAAUUCGCACAAGAUGAAUUGAAUCGGUAAGGAGAUCGGAAACCAGAUGAUGGUGACAAGAAGGAGAAGAAGUUCGAACGAGUCUCACCACCUGCUCGUGUUGGGAGGAAGCAACGGAAGCAGAAAGGACUUGAAGCGGCGGCUAAACUGAAGCGAUCACUACAUAAAUGAUUGGGUCAUGACCCUCUAUUUCCUUGAUUCGAGUAAGUUCCUUCAUCUUCCCGCAGACUCAAUGACUCCUCCACUGUUCGUAGAUCUCCCGUCUUCGUUGUCCAGGAAGUUGUCAAGGAGAUGAAAUCCACCAAUAGCCUAGUAUGCUUCCACUUUCUCGUCUCUCAUGCUUGUAAAUUUAUGCGUGCUUUGAUUUGUUGUUUUGAAAUUGAUUUUAUUCACUGUAUUUCUAAGGGGUUACAUUUUUAGAGUUCUCUGUGCAUACAAGGUGUUCGACGAAUUGACUGUGAGAC